Molecule: long non-coding RNA, 228 nt
Filed under: Ananas comosus (pineapple)
Lineage: Eukaryota; Viridiplantae; Streptophyta; Magnoliopsida; Poales; Bromeliaceae
Description: long non-coding RNA (ACOM_LNC039090)
Source: RNAcentral
AAAAAAAGUAGUGAGAAAGAAAGAUGAUGAAGGUGGAUGAACGAUUCCUCCCAAGCGGCGAUCGCGUGCGACUCGGCGAAGGUCCUCCCAAGCGUGCGACUCGGCGAAGGUCCUCCCAAGCGGCGAUCGCGUGUGACUCGACGAAGGUCCUCCCAAGCGACGAUCGCCUGCGAGCUCAAGAGGAAUCACCUCGGCGAAGGUCCUCUCAAGCGACGAUCACGUGCGAGC